This 302-nucleotide ribosomal RNA is filed under the name Paravaejovis confusus. RNAcentral describes it as "partial 16S ribosomal RNA". The record is from RNAcentral. Lineage: Eukaryota; Metazoa; Arthropoda; Arachnida; Scorpiones; Vaejovidae.
UUUGAAAUUUAUAUUUUAGUAAAAAAGCUAAAAUUAUCUAUAGGGACGAGAAGACCCUAUCAAGUUUUACAAUCCAAAAUUUAUUUUCAAAUUAAGUUUAAAAUUGUUUUGCUGGGGCAGCAGAUAAAAAUUUUUUAUUUUAAAAUUAUGAUAAAUAAAUCUUGAAAAAUCAAAAAAUUUUUAAUUAAAAAUAAAUUACUGUAGGGAUAACAGCAUAAUUUUUUUAGAGAGUUCUUAUCAUCAAAAAAGUUUGUGACCUCGAUGUUGGAUUAAAAUUCCUAAUUCGUGCAAUAAUGAAAUAA